UACGGAGGAUCCAGGCGUUAUCCGGAAUCAUUGGGUUUAAAGGGUGCGUAGGCGGGAUAUUAAGUCAGUGGUGAAAGCCUGCAGCUUAACUGUAGAAUUGCCAUUGAAACUGAUAUUCUUGAGUGCGGUCGAGGUGGUUGGAAUAUAUCAUGUAGCGGUGAAAUGCAUAGAUAUGAUAUAGAACACCAAUUGCGAAGGCAGAGCACUAGACCGUUACUGACGCUCAGGCACGAAAGCAUGGGUAGCAAACAGG
This 253-nucleotide unclassified non-coding RNA is filed under the name uncultured Sphingobacteriales bacterium. Its description in RNAcentral is "contains 16S-23S intergenic spacer region". It matches the Rfam family "Bacterial small subunit ribosomal RNA", at positions 524 to 776 of the family's 1533-position model. Lineage: Bacteria; Pseudomonadati; Bacteroidota; Sphingobacteriia; Sphingobacteriales. The record is from RNAcentral.